CGACCUGUGGCAUUUACGUCAGGUCAAUAUCGGGAACGCUGCGAACCGGCCAACCGGAAAGGGAGAGGUCGUUGGU
Molecule: transfer RNA, 76 nt
Filed under: Pararhodospirillum photometricum DSM 122
Lineage: Bacteria; Pseudomonadati; Pseudomonadota; Alphaproteobacteria; Rhodospirillales; Rhodospirillaceae
Description: tRNA-Phe
Source: RNAcentral